CCAGGAUUCAGACGGUCAACACUGGGAACGAGAUCCUGGAAGAAGCACAUGCCAUCAGUUCCCCGAGGAGUGUCUUCACGGUUGAGGAGGAUGGAUGGUUUCUGCAGACCGUGGACACCGAAUGGUCUUGUGAGAGUCCUGACAUCCAAGAGGCCAAGAUCCCAGAAGACAACACUAGGGAUCAGGAGCUGGACGUGGAGAGCUUUGUCAGUUCCCCGAGCGUCCAGAGGCCAAGCACCGUGUUGAGGAGGCUGCAAAACACCACUGCUGACCAAGAGCCAUCCCUUGGAGAGAGUUCUUCCUUCCCGGGGGCCGAGACUCCACCCGCCAGCGUGGAGGACGAGGGGUCGGAAGGGGACUGUGCCACCAGUUCCCCCAG
This is a long non-coding RNA of Hemicordylus capensis (graceful crag lizard), 379 nucleotides long. RefSeq lists it as uncharacterized. NCBI's taxonomy places the organism in Eukaryota, Metazoa, Chordata, Lepidosauria, Squamata, Cordylidae. The record is from RefSeq and is a predicted model, not a curated record. The transcript has 5 exons.